CACCGGUUACCACAGCACCAGUUACCACAGCACCAGUCACCACAGCACCAGUUACCACAGCACCAGUAACCACAGCACCAGUAACCACAGCACCAGUUACCACAGCACCAGUUACCACAGCACCAGUAACCACAGCACCAGUUACCACAGCACCAGUUACCACAGCAGCAAUAACCACAGCACCACUUCUACAGCAACUACCGUAGCGGCUACCAAAACAACUACAAUUUCGACCACCUCCUCCGCCCUCAUCAACCAAAUCAGUCUCAUGUCCGUUGUCGUGGCUGUGCUGACACCUGUACUCUACUCAGGUUGCUGAAGGUGUUAGGUGCAGCUCUCAUCAUGUGCAUGAAUCGAUGAAAAUGGAAGGAUUUGUGUUUAUACACUGUAAGUUUAUAUGCUAAUUGCUUGUUUAACGAUGCUUGUUUGGUGCGCUGGACCUUGUUGGAGGUGUUGAGAAUGAAUCCAAACGCCUGUGAUAACUACAUGUUGUUUUGAUUCAGAGGCCAGUAAGUGAAUCUGUCUAAUAUUAUGAAAUACUAACAUUAUGUAAGUCAUCACAUGAUAACAA
This is a long non-coding RNA of Etheostoma cragini (Arkansas darter), 571 nucleotides long. RefSeq lists it as uncharacterized. The record is from RefSeq and is a predicted model, not a curated record. NCBI's taxonomy places the organism in Eukaryota, Metazoa, Chordata, Actinopteri, Perciformes, Percidae. The transcript is spliced from 2 exons.